UCCCCAGACUCCUACGGGAGGCAGCAGUGGGGAAUAUUGGGCAAUGGGCGCAAGCCUGACCCAGCAACGCCGCGUGAAGGAAGAAGGCUUUCGGGUUGUAAACUUCUUUUAAGAGGGAAGAGAAGAAGACGGUACCUCUUGAAUAAGCCACGGCUAACUACGUGCCAGCAGCCGCGGUAAUACGUAGGUGGCAAGCGUUGUCCGGAUUUACUGGGUGUAAAGGGCGUGCAGCCGGGCUGACAAGUCAGAUGUGAAAUCCCGCGGCUCAACCGCGGAACUGCUUUGGAAACUGUUAAGCUGGAGUACUGGAGAGGCAAGCGGAAUUCCUAGUGUAGCGGUGAAAUGCGUAGAUAUUAGGAGGAACACCAGUGGCGAAGGCGGCUUGCUGGACAGAGACUGACGUUGAGGCUCGAAAGCGUGGGGAGCAAACAGGAUUAGAUACCCGAGUA
Molecule: ribosomal RNA, 449 nt
Filed under: uncultured bacterium
Lineage: Bacteria
Description: partial 16S ribosomal RNA
Rfam family: Bacterial small subunit ribosomal RNA
Source: RNAcentral